RNAcentral lists this ribosomal RNA (263 nucleotides) under uncultured archaeon. Its description in RNAcentral is "partial 16S ribosomal RNA". It matches the Rfam family "Archaeal small subunit ribosomal RNA", at positions 748 to 1010 of the family's 1478-position model. The record is from RNAcentral.
CAGCCGUAAACGAUGCGCGUUAGGUGUAUCGACGACCACGAGUCGUCGAGGUGCCGAAGGGAAACCGUGAAACGUGCCGCCUGGGAAGUACGGUCGCAAGGCUGAAACUUAAAGGAAUUGGCGGGGGAGCACCACAACAGGUGGAGCCUGCGGUUUAAUUGGAUUCAACGCCGGACAUCUCACCGGAUAAGACAGCUGAAUGAUUGUCAAUCUGAAGGUUUUACAUGACUAGCUGAGAGGAGGUGCAUGGCGUCAGUGACUGU